UUGCCCCUAAAAUCAAGGCCAACAGUUUGCUGAAGUGUUCAUUUCAAGCAGAAAGCCUAGAAGCCUAAGAAAUGUCUUCUAUGGCUACUGGCCAUUUCAGAACUCUGAAAAUAACAUGAUCAAUUCAUUAGAAAGAAGCAUCU
This 143-nucleotide small nucleolar RNA is filed under the name Castor canadensis (American beaver). The record is from RNAcentral. Lineage: Eukaryota; Metazoa; Chordata; Mammalia; Rodentia; Castoridae.